Molecule: long non-coding RNA, 1017 nt
Organism: Condylura cristata (star-nosed mole)
Lineage: Eukaryota; Metazoa; Chordata; Mammalia; Eulipotyphla; Talpidae
Exons: 4
Source: RefSeq, a predicted model, not a curated record
GCGAGCGGGUCUGGAGAGGCGGCACUUUGGGGGGCCUUGAGGACUCCCUCCCACUCCAAACUGCCUGGCUUCCUGGCAAAGUCCCUGCGGGUGAUCGGACCUGUGGGGGAGGGGGCAGCUCCUUUAACACGGUGUUAUUCUUAAACAAACAGACGCGCACGUUUGUUUAUAAGCCUGGGGUUUUUUGUCUUGUUUUCCUCGUUCUUCUAGAACCGGCCCCUCCCCUGGUCUGGUCAGUCACUCCACCUCCCCCCCACCCCGUGCUGGCCCUAGGGCUGUCCCAGUUUGGGUUCUCCAGGCCAGGCAGGGUGGACCUCUGGCUCUUUCAAGUCACAGGGCAUGAGCCUUCCUGCUCCCUGCUCCCGGGAAGAUUAGGGGAAGGAGGGACAGUGAAGGGAAGGUCAAGGCUGACUGAUGAACUUCGCAUCUGCUUGGCGAAAAGUCACCAACAGAAAAAGGCAGCUUGGGCCGCAGUUGGCCUGAUGACUGCGGAUCCCAGUAAUAAGGCCGAGCACAGUCUGACAUGGCUGGUGCCAGACUCCCGCCGCCGUCCACACCCCACUGGUCAGGUGAGGGGACUUGCAGACUUGCAGACUAGGACGCAGGACACCAGCGUCUGGCAGGAGCUAGGUCCCGUGCUCCUGCGGUGCCCCAGGAUUUAAUCUACCAACUGGUGGGUCCUGCAGGAGAUGACACUCUGAUCUAGAAGGACCUAACUCAACUGAUUCCAGUGGAUAAAAGAGAUCUGAGGAAUGAAACUGUCAACAGUAAAUAACUUUCCACGAGGGCAUCCCAGGGAAAAGAACACCUAUUUUCUGGUCAUCGGUUUAGGACCUAGGACUUCAGCUACCCAGCCUGUGGCAUGUUAGUCACAGCAGUCCAAGCGCACAAAUACAGCACAUUGGUUUCUCAGAGAUCAGCCUGGCAGCUGUGGGCCUGGGAGAGCGGACUGCAGGAAUGAAGACUGCUGCUUAGAGAUUGCUUUAUCGAGGCAUACAAGAACUGGGGUACAGGCCA